Molecule: ribosomal RNA, 385 nt
Filed under: uncultured bacterium
Lineage: Bacteria
Description: bacterial SSU rRNA
Rfam family: Bacterial small subunit ribosomal RNA
Source: RNAcentral
AUUGAACGCUGGCGGCAUGCCUUACACAUGCAAGUCGAACGGCAGCACGGGAGCAAUCCUGGUGGCGAGUGGCGAACGGGUGAGUAAUAUAUCGGAACGUGCCCAGUCGUGGGGGAUAACGCAGCGAAAGCUGUGCUAAUACCGCAUACGAUCUAUGGAUGAAAGCGGGGGACUCGCAAGGGCCUCGCGCGAUUGGAGCGGCCGAUAUCAGAUUAGCUAGUUGGUGGGUAAAGCCCACCAAGGCGACGAUCUGUAGCUGGUCUGAGAGGACGACCAGCCACACUGGAACUGAGACACGGUCCAGACUCCUACGGGAGGCAGCAGUGGGGAAUUUUGGACAAUGGGCGCAAGCCUGAUCCAGCAAUGCCGCGUGCAGGAUGAAGGC